CAAGUCUUGACAUCCCUCUGAAUCCUCUAGAGAUAGAGGCGGUCUUCGGGACAGAGGUGACAGGUGGUGCAUGGUUGUCGUCAGCUCGUGUCGUGAGAUGUUGGGUUAAGUCCCGCAACGAGCGCAACCCUUGAUUUUAGUUGCCAGCACUUUAAGGUGGGCACUCUAGAAUGACUGCCGGUGACAAACCGGAGGAAGGCGGGGAUGACGUCAAAUCAUCAUGCCCCUUAUGACUUGGGCUACACACGUACUACAAUGGCUGGUACAACGGGAAGCGAAGCCGCGAGGUGGAGCCAAUCCUAUAAAAGCCAGUCUCAGUUCGGAUUGCAGGCUGCAACUCGCCUGCAUGAAGUCGGAAUUGCUAGUAAUCGCGGAUCAGCAUGCCGCGGUGAAUACGUUCCC
Molecule: ribosomal RNA, 402 nt
Filed under: uncultured bacterium
Lineage: Bacteria
Description: bacterial SSU rRNA
Rfam family: Bacterial small subunit ribosomal RNA
Source: RNAcentral